This is an RNA transcript of Glossina fuscipes, 2062 nucleotides long. It is a transcript of the gene named galectin-4-like, with no coding region annotated. The transcript has 5 exons. The record is from RefSeq and is a predicted model, not a curated record. Lineage: Eukaryota; Metazoa; Arthropoda; Insecta; Diptera; Glossinidae.
UUUCGGCUGUAAGACUGUCCAGUUAAGAAAUUGCUAAAAAUAAUUGCGAAGGGUGUCAGGUGGUUAAAAGUAAACAUAUUGUAGUCAUAGAAUGAGUGAGUUAAGAAACAAAAGUUAAAAAAGAAAAAGAGACGUUGUUUUAGGGUUCACAUGCAUAUGUGCUCCAUAUGAAAAUUUUUCCAUAUUUGUUGAGCAUUUUCUUAUAUUCGCCGCACAAUGUCUGCUCUAUUCUUCUACGUAAGUAGUUCGUUCUAUGACUUGUACGAAUUCACUACUGCUUUUGUGCGUUGCGGUUACAAUGUAGAAAGAAGUUUAUGUUAUUUAAAACAUAAAAAGCGAUUGCAAUUAUUCCGAUAUUAUUGUCGGCAAUAUUGGAUUAAUAAAUGCAAAGAAAUCUAUCGGUAUCGAAGACAAAAACAAGUGCAAAAAUUUUCCGAACAAAAGUCGUAUAUUAAUUUAAGAAAAAUCAUGCAACGUUCGAGCAUCGAUUUUGAUGACAGCGACAUGAUUGAAGAAGGCUUCGAAUGCACCGAUUCGUUUGGCAUGGAUGACGGUGACGGCAAUUUUGAAACCUUUCCAGAGCUGGAUUUCGAGAAUAUCGACGUACAUUCUUUGGACGAAUGUACGAGCGUGCUUAGUGAUGGCAAGGAAGAGCUAGUCUAUUACAAUCCCCGUUUGAUACGUCUGCGCGAGGGAGUCAGCUUAACGGUGAAUGGUGUUACAAAACCCUAUUGCGAAAGAUUUUCUAUAAAUUUAGUUAUUGAGAAUAGCAGCCGAGAUAUUGCGUUGCACAUUAAUCCGCGUUUACCUCAAGGUUAUAUUGUACGAAAUUCAAAAGUCCACGGCAUUUGGGGCGAUGAGGAAAAAGCCUCCCCUUUACCUUUUAACCUGAAACGUGAUCGUAAAUUUUCAAUACAAAUUCUUUUCACGGAAGUUUGUUAUAUGAUCAGCGUGAACGGGUAUCAUUUUUGCAAAUUCCCUCACCGCCUGCCGUAUCGUGAUGUUGGAACGCUUGAAGUGAAGGGUGACAUAGACGACAUUAGAGUGGAGCGUAUGGAAGUACGAAACUAUCCGGAUCGAUUACCUCAAACCAAGCCGGCGGUGAUAAAACUUGGACUGCCUUUAAAAUCGAUCUACCAGGGUAAUUUUGACGAAGGAGACGGCGACACAAUUAAAGUGCCAAGACAAUGGCGUAGAAUAUCGAUGCCAACACGUGUAACUUUAGCAUUGAUACGAGAUAAAAGUGAGGAAAGCGAAAUACCUUUACCCUUUUACGGAAUACUUCCGAAGGGUGGCUUUACAUUAGGGCGAGUCUUAAAAAUCGAGGGAAGAAUAAAAUUGCUGCCCCACUCAUUCUAUGUUAAUUUGCAAAGUGGCUGUGAUGUCUGGCCUCAUCCCACGGUGGCGUUUCACUUAAAUCCACGCUUUGCCAAGCAACAUGGAGGAAUUGUUGGACGUACGACUUUGGUGCGUAAUGCGUGGAUGGAAGGUUCUUGGGGUUUGGAGGAUCGUUCCGAUAUCGAUACCGAAUUUCGUCCCGGCAAAGCUUUUAGUAUGUGCAUAGUUAGCACACAAGCGUCAUUUCAAAUUUAUCUAAAUCAUCGCUUCAUAACUGAAUUUAAAUAUCGUGUCGGUCCACAUGUGAUUGAUACAGUCUAUAUACAGGGUGACAUUAAGCUAUGGGAUGUGAUGUUAGCUAAUGAGCUUUCGUUUGAAGCUAUAAAACCGGCACGCAAAAUCGCUUUCGCAAACACAAAUCCUUCAGAGCGAAAAUACGAUAGACGAGUAAUCGGAUGACCGAGUUUCGCAACGUUUUUAACCCUUAACGAAAACGGUAAAAUAGAAAAAGGAAAGUUAUUUACUUUAAAGGACAAAACGUUAGAAGACGUUGAAUAUUCGAAUUGAAGCGAGGAGAGGAAAGAAUUAAGCAGCAACUUCUACGACAAUUCCAUAUAUUUAAGUGAUGCCUACGAUACUACCAGACCUUCCGCACAAUUUCUAACUCGAAAUUCGACCCCGGCUGCAGAUUAGUAGUUACUAACGAAGACAACUCCACGUCAUC